GACAGAGGCCACGAACGUUGUUCGGAAUUACUGGGCAUAAAGCGCACGUAGGCGGCUAGGUCCGUCCGAUGUGAAAUACCCCGCGUCACCGGGAACGUGCAUCGGAGUACAGCCUCGGCGUUGUAGGAGUGGUUUGGGGGUUGGAGUGGAACGUACCUCGGUGGAGCGGUGAAAUAGCGUAGAUAUCAGGAGGAACACCGGUGGCGAAAGACGG
This 214-nucleotide ribosomal RNA is filed under the name uncultured bacterium. RNAcentral's name for it is "partial 16S ribosomal RNA". It matches the Rfam family "Bacterial small subunit ribosomal RNA", at positions 524 to 725 of the family's 1533-position model. The record is from RNAcentral.